RNAcentral lists this long non-coding RNA (288 nucleotides) under Ailuropoda melanoleuca (giant panda). RNAcentral describes it as "lncRNA (ENSAMEG00000028588.1)". The record is from RNAcentral. Lineage: Eukaryota; Metazoa; Chordata; Mammalia; Carnivora; Ursidae.
AGCUGGCGUCUGCCCUGUAAAGAGCCCUUAUGGGGGGGUUGGGGGGGCAAAGGCUUCUGCAAGUAAGGGGUGCGUGGGGUGGGUGGUGCAAUCCCAGCUUCUAGAAUUCCUUCUGUAUGCAGAGCAAGCAAACUCCCACACCCCAAAAGGUCUUGAAAAAAGACAGUUCGCCGCUUUCUCCGCAAAACAAUCACCCGUUUCACAAGGAGUUUGUAAGAAUUUCAAGACAUGCAAGAAUAAGGUAAGACUGCUGGCAAAAUAAAAAUUCCUUUUUAACAAUUAUCUGAG